UACGGGGGAUGCAAGCGUUAUCCGGAUUUAUUGGGCGUAAAGCGCCUGUAGGUUGUUUAAUAAGUCUGUUGUUAAAGACUAGGGCUUAACCCCAGGAAAGCAAUGGAAACUACUAGACUUGAGUAUGAUAGGGGUAGAGGGAAUUUCUAGUGUAGCGGUGAAAUGCGUAGAUAUUAGAAAGAACACCGGUGGCGAAGGCGCUCUACUGGAUCAUUACUGACACUCAGAGGCGAAAGCUAGGGUAGCAAAAGGGAUUAGAUACCCCUGUAGUCCUAGCCGUAAACGAUGGAUACUAGAUGUUGCAUAUAAUGUGCAGUAUCCUAGCUAACGCGUUAAGUAUCCCGCCUGGGGAGUACGCUCGCAAGGGUG
Molecule: ribosomal RNA, 369 nt
Filed under: uncultured phototrophic eukaryote
Lineage: Eukaryota
Description: SSU rRNA
Rfam family: Bacterial small subunit ribosomal RNA
Source: RNAcentral